ACUUAAUCAAAUUGACUUCAAUUUUAUCCAAAUCUGUUACUCUAUUGUAGUGCCGUUUCUAUUUGAGAAAAUUAAAUUAAAGUUCUACAACAUCUCUCUUAAUUAUUUUGAACUCGCUAUCUUUUCUUUCUGUGAUUUUAAUAAUUAAAUUUAUGAUGAAUUCAACAAAGAGAGACUGUUGACAGGAGACAUUGAAAUUGGUAUAGGGAGUUGUUGGACAAUGAUGACAAAUCGACAAAGGGGCUUCAAAAUGUGCAGACUAUUCCCGGAGGCUAAGCACAGAUUUUGUGUAAGACAUUUAUUAAAUUUAUUCGGUGUACUAAAAGAUUUUCUCUAGUAGGCAGCCAAGUCCACAACUAUUGUAGACCACAAACAAUGGAGGCAGCAAAUCAGGCAAUUGAGUGAAGAUCUUUCCUUUGAUUGAUGGAACGACCCCCCUCAAGGAAUGGAUCAAGUGAUAUUUUCAGGUGUAUACCAAAUGCAACAUUUUGUUGAACAACGGAUCUGAGGUUUUCAACAAGACACUUCUAGAGGAUCGGGACAAAAUGAUUCCUAAUAUGUUUGACUUUUAUUCAGUUGACCUAUGUGCAAAGAAUACAGUGGAGGCGGGAUAAAAUGAGGAAUCAUGCUGGCUGACUUUAUCCGAAGAUAAGAAAAAGGGUGCAGUAGGUGGUUGAAUGUGUUGUGCACUUAUCUAGUGGUUCCAAAUGGCAAGUGGAGUGUAGUUAUAGAACAUUUGUGAUUGACCUAGAGGAUGGAAGAUGUGCAUGUAAAAAGUGGGAGUUGACUGGCAUUCUAUACCUUCGUGCGAUGGCCGUGAUCCGCAAGUGUCGAAAUGAAAUUGAAGGCUAUGUUGACAACUGUUAUACGAUAGAUUCGUACUUGAACUAUUACAGGAGUAUUUUGAACCCAAUCAACAAGCCAAGGUUGUGGCCAAAGGUGAAUGCGAAGCCAAUUAAUCUACCAAAACGGACAGUGAAUAAGAAAGGGUGAAGACAAACCAAGAGAAAGAAGUAAGCGGAGGAAGUAGUGAUGCAUAUGCAGGACAAGUCUUGUGUUGCGGAAAAAGACCAUGUGAACAUGAUGUGCUCAGUUUGUGGUGUUGUGGACACAACACAGGACAUCAUUCCUCAGCACCCGUUGUGUUGGAUGUGAGUAAACUACAUUUAUUUCUUCUGUAAUUUAAUUUCUUGAUUCGUGUUUUAGGACUUGUUCAAUGCCCCAUUGGAAGAACUGGGAUCUCAACAAAACCAAUGAGUGUAAGUUAGUAGCUCACAAGCACACCUGCAUGUCAAAAAUUUUGCUUCUUUUCUCAUAUUUGUAGUUCAAUGCUGUAGGGAAGUUGUCUGCCAACAGGGAAAAUCGUCCAUCAACUAGUCGGACACCAGCAACAUAUCAUGUACAUGACAUAACUGACUAGCCACAGGCGUGAAAUCUGGACGAAAUGGUAGGCAAUUUUCAGGAUGCAGAAGAUGUUGAAGCUUCACAGUUUAGGGCAGCUAGAGUGUAUUCCUGAUGAUAUGCGAAGAUGUCUACAGCUACGUCUCGCUGAAGCUGAAUGUGCAUGGAUGUAGAUUGGAGACGGUGAAGCAUAACAUUCCUUGAAGCUUGUUUAUUUUGAUAGUAGUGAAUAGGUUAUCUGUGCAACUGGAACUUUGGGUUGCUUUUGGGGUUGGAAAAUCGUAAGCAGGCUUAGAAUUUUUUGGGAUGAGAAAUGGGUUGGAAAGUGGGAUUUUUUUUUUAUUUUUUUAUUUUUAUCGAAAGAAUGUUUUGAGUGAUAUGGAACGAUAUCAUAUUGUUAUAAUGAUCUUAACAGUAAUACUAACGUAUGUUGCCA
This 1837-nucleotide long non-coding RNA is filed under the name Olea europaea subsp. europaea. Lineage: Eukaryota; Viridiplantae; Streptophyta; Magnoliopsida; Lamiales; Oleaceae. The record is from RNAcentral.